GACGAACGCUGGCGGCGUGCUUAACACAUGCAAGUCGAACGGAAAGGCCCUGCUUUUGUGGGGUGCUCGAGUGGCGAACGGGUGAGUAGCACGUGAGUAACCUGCCCUUGACUUUGGGAUAACUUCAGGAAACUGGGGCUAAUACCGGAUAGGAGCUCCUGCUGCAUGGUGGGGGUUGGAAAGUUUCGGCGGUUGGGGAUGGACUCGCGGCUUAUCAGCUUGUUGGUGGGGUAGUGGCUUACCAAGGCUUUGACGGGUAGCCGGCCUGAGAGGGUGACCGGCCACAUUGGGACUGGGAUACGGCCCGGACUCCUACGGGAGGCAGCAGUGGGGAAUAUUGCACAAUGGGCGGAAGCCUGAUGCAGCAACGCCGCGUGCGGGAUGACGGCCUUCGGGUUGUAAACCGCUUUCGCCUGUGACGAAGCGUGAGUGACGGUAAUGGGUAAAGAAGCACCGGCUAACUACGU
This 467-nucleotide ribosomal RNA is filed under the name uncultured bacterium. RNAcentral describes it as "partial 16S ribosomal RNA". It matches the Rfam family "Bacterial small subunit ribosomal RNA", at positions 28 to 506 of the family's 1533-position model. The record is from RNAcentral.